Molecule: ribosomal RNA, 609 nt
Filed under: uncultured Thelephoraceae
Lineage: Eukaryota; Fungi; Basidiomycota; Agaricomycetes; Thelephorales; Thelephoraceae
Description: eukaryotic LSU rRNA
Rfam family: Eukaryotic large subunit ribosomal RNA
Source: RNAcentral
GAGGAAAAGAAACUAACAAGGAUUCCCCUAGUAACUGCGAGUGAAGCGGGAAGAGCUCAAAUUUAAAAUCUGGCGUGCCUCUGGUCGUCCGAGUUGUAGUCUGGAGAAGCGUUUUCCGUGUUGGACCGUGUAUAAGUCUCUUGGAACAGGGCGUCAUAGAGGGUGAGAAUCCCGUCUUUGACACGGACUACCAAUGCUUUGUGAUGCGCUCUCAAAGAGUCGAGUUGUUUGGGAAUGCAGCUCAAAAUGGGUGGUAAAUUCCAUCUAAAGCUAAAUAUAGGCGAGAGACCGAUAGCGAACAAGUACCGUGAGGGAAAGAUGAAAAGCACUUUGGAAAGAGAGUUAAACAGUACGUGAAAUUGCUGAAAGGGAAACGCUUGAAGUCAGUCGUGUCUGCCAGGACUCAGCCUUGCUUCUGCUUGGUGUACUUUCUGGUCGGAUGGGCCAACAUCAAUUUCGACCGUUGGAGAAAGGCUUUGGGAAUGUGGCACCUUUGGGUGUGUUAUAGCCCUUUGUCGUAUACGGCGGUUGGGAUUGAGGACUGCAGCACGCCUUUAUGGCCGGGGUUCGCCCACGUACGUGCUUAGGAUGUUGGCGUAAUGGCUUUAA